AGCCACGCAGUGAGCACAUAGCGAACUAUUCUUUCGCCUUUUACUAAAGAAUACCGUGUGCGCGUUGCAAUUAGUGGCAUACGCUAAUUUUUGGAGGGAUUUUCUUAACUGAAGAUCCC
Molecule: non-coding RNA, 119 nt
Organism: Solanum lycopersicum (tomato)
Lineage: Eukaryota; Viridiplantae; Streptophyta; Magnoliopsida; Solanales; Solanaceae
Source: Rfam